UGUGGGGACUUACAAAAUGUCCCCAGUUGGUCAACUUUUUGUUUGUUCAUUAUUCUUGUGAGGACUUUUGGUCCUCACAAGUGUAUUUAAACACACACACACACAAUGGAGCUGGACUAGGGCUAAUGCAUUCUGACAGGAGAGUGACUGCUUCUUCUACACUAAGGAGGUGAGUCAGAAUAUAUAUAAUUUUAAGUGCACAGAGUGUGUGUGCCAGUAUUGUGUGAAUGUGUAUAAUUUUUACAUCAAAAAGGAAAAGCUCACACACCACUCUGUCUAGGAGUAACAUCAUUAACUCACGGUAAAAGAGGAAGCUAAUGCAGUCUCAUCCCCCUCUAACUACUACUGUGUCUAAAUAUGCAGGGUGGGUGGGUGCAAGUCAGACACACCCACAGUUUUACUGUAUAAUCCUCCUCCAAUUGAAAUACUCUAAUAUAUUAUCUCAUAUGAAUAUCCGCUCCUCACUCUCGCCUUCUCCAGCAGCUGUGUAGAAGCUGCGCUGUACACCGUUCCAGGAUCAGCUUACCCUCCCUCAGUCCUUAUUUUAUCCAUAGAGGGAGAUGCUAAACUGACCUUACAUCAGUCUGUAAGGGCAACCUCAUCUACUCCAGUACAGACAUGCCUGGGGUAUUUAAAGCAGUCUACAUCAGAUGUGCUCCCAUGGAAGAGAUGCUGUGAUAGAAGCAUGUUGAUGUACACAUUAUGUAACAUAGUCUACACAGGGUUAUAUACAGCUCAAUAAUAUGGGACUGCUGUCUGUAGCAUCAGUAAUGAGUUAUGUACACUGUACCAGAAGAUUUGUGUGUGCACACCAUGGACUAAUUUGGGAAUGCAGUGUGUAGGUUGUGAAAUGACUCGUUUGACUGAGAAGUCUACCCACGUAGGGCACAAUAAGCCCCUGUCUGUUAUUUCCUGAACAUCUCUCUCUCUCUCCUUUUUAGAUUGUACUUUUCUCAUUUCCUCUGGUAUCGACUCACUUUUCCCCAUCUCUCUUCCCCCUCUCCUCUCUUCCUCCUGUCAGACUACGACUAAGACGGUGAAAAAGACACCAAAGAAGAAGACAACCACCACAGCUACAGCCAGCAACAACGCUGAGUCACCAUGAUAUCUGUAUCUACUGACCCCAUCUACACCUUACUGAACACCACUACAGCCAUGUAACAGGCCCUCUCUGUCUCCAGUCCCCACACACACACACACGGACCUCUGGAGUGUCACCCUCGCCGGUUAAGCACAACUCGCAGGUUUAGUUCAACUGUAGAUGGCCAGCAGGCUUAGUCCUACUGUAGAUGGCCAGCUUCAUGUCAACUCGCAGGUUUAGUUCUACUGUAGAUGGCCAGCAGGUUUUGUUCUGCUGUAGAUGGCCAGCUUCAUGUCAACUCACAGGUUUAGUUCUACUGUAGAUGGCCAGCAGGCUUAGUUCUACUGUAGAUGGCCAGCUUCAUGUCAAUUCACAGGUUUUGUUCUACUGUAGAUGGCCAGCAGGUUUAGUUCUACUGUAGAUGGCCAGCUUCAUGUCAACUCACAGGUUUUGUUCUACUGUAGAUGGCCAGCUUCAUGUCAACUCGCAGGUUUAGUUCUACUGUAGAUGGCCAGCAGGCUUAGUUCUACUGUAGAUGGCCAGCUUCAUGUCAACUCACAGGUUUUGUUCUACUGUAGAUGGCCAGCAGGCUUAGUUCUACUGUAGAUGGCCAGCUUCAUGUCAACUCACAGGUUUUGUUCUACUGUAGAUGGCCAGCUUCACGUCAACAACACUUGUUUUAUUUAACCUGCUGCUUACAUAUUCUAGGUUUUAUAGUCAUUAACCUCAGUGUGUGUGUGUGUUUUAGUGAUGGCCUGUUAUCUGGACUGAAAAAGAGUUGCUUCCUUCCUGCUGUACAGAUAAUAGCCCUCUGUGUUGGGCCCCUCCCAGGCCAUCCAAGGCCUCACACUAGAUUGACAUGACAUAAUCCUCUUGGGAGCAUAGGGCAUCCAUCAUGAAUCUCCAUCCCCCUCAC
Molecule: non-coding RNA, 1997 nt
Organism: Salmo salar (Atlantic salmon)
Lineage: Eukaryota; Metazoa; Chordata; Actinopteri; Salmoniformes; Salmonidae
Source: RefSeq, a predicted model, not a curated record